AGUGAACGCUGGCGGUAGGCCUAACACAUGCAAGUCGAACGGCAGCACAGGAGAGCUUGCUCUCUGGGUGGCGAGUGGCGGACGGGUGAGGAAUACAUCGGAAUCUACUCUGUCGUGGGGAUAACGUAGGGAAACUUACGCUAAUACCGCAUACGACCUACGGGUGAAAGCAGGGGAUCUUCGGACCUUGCGCGAUUGAAUGAGCCGAUGUCGGAUUAGCUAGUUGGCGGGGGAAAGGCCCACCAAGGCGACGAUCCGUAGCUGGUCUGAGAGGAUGAGCAGCCAAACUGGAACGGAGACACGGUCCAGACUCCUACGGGAGGCAGCAGUGGGGAAUAUUGGACAAUGGGCGCAAGCCUGAUCCAGCCAUACCGCGUGGGUGAAGAAGGCCUUCGGGUUGUAAAGCCCUUUUGUUGGGAAAGAAAUCCAGCUGGCUAAUACCCGGUUGGGAUGACGGUACCCAAAGAAUAAGCACCGGCUAACUUCGUGCCAGCCGCCGCAGUAA
Molecule: ribosomal RNA, 505 nt
Filed under: uncultured bacterium
Lineage: Bacteria
Description: partial 16S ribosomal RNA
Rfam family: Bacterial small subunit ribosomal RNA
Source: RNAcentral